GAGGUUAAACAGUCUCGCUGAAAUCAUCCAGCAAGAACCACGGUGGAAACCAAAUCUGGCCUGCAGUUCAUUAGAGAGAAGGAUCUCCCUGCCAUCAUCUCACCUCUGUCUGAGGCUCCUCAGAGCACAGCGGACUAAAGUCACUGUCAUCAGUUGUUGACACCGAGGCCUCCUGACUGUCCAAGAUUAAAGGUCUGAGGUGAUUUGCUCCAAGCAGCUCUUGGGAUGCUGAGCAUCGAGGGUCAGGCACUUGUACCUCCACAUCUAAAUGUUGCAGCAUGGCUUGAAGCCUUCUCCUGAAGCUUCUACAACUUCACUCUGCUAUAUCAAGAGCAAGCUUCUC
This is a long non-coding RNA of Cheilinus undulatus (humphead wrasse), 343 nucleotides long. RefSeq lists it as uncharacterized. The record is from RefSeq and is a predicted model, not a curated record. NCBI's taxonomy places the organism in Eukaryota, Metazoa, Chordata, Actinopteri, Labriformes, Labridae. The transcript has 3 exons.